AUUGAACGCUGGCGGCAUGCCUUACACAUGCAAGUCGAACGGCAGCACGGGAGCAAUCCUGGUGGCGAGUGGCGAACGGGUGAGUAAUAUAUCGGAACGUGCCCAGUCGUGGGGGAUAACGUAGCGAAAGCUACGCUAAUACCGCAUACGAUCUAUGGAUGAAAGCGGGGGAUCGCAAGACCUCGCGCGAUUGGAGCGGCCGAUAUCAGAUUAGGUAGUUGGUGAGGUAAAGGCUCACCAAGCCGACGAUCUGUAGCUGGUCUGAGAGGACGACCAGCCACACUGGGACUGAGACACGGCCCAGACUCCUACGGGAGGCAGCAGUGGGGAAUUUUUGGACAAUGGGCGCAAGCCUGAUCCAGCAAUGCCGCGUGCAGGAUGAAGGCCU
Molecule: ribosomal RNA, 388 nt
Filed under: uncultured bacterium
Lineage: Bacteria
Description: bacterial SSU rRNA
Rfam family: Bacterial small subunit ribosomal RNA
Source: RNAcentral